Molecule: ribosomal RNA, 443 nt
Filed under: uncultured bacterium
Lineage: Bacteria
Description: partial 16S ribosomal RNA
Rfam family: Bacterial small subunit ribosomal RNA
Source: RNAcentral
CCUACGGGGGGCAGCAGUGGGGAAUAUUGGGCAAUGGGCGCAAGCCUGACCCAGCAACGCCGCGUGAAGGAAGAAGGCUUUCGGGUUGUAAACUUCUUUUAUGAGGGACGAAAGAGAUGACGGUACCUUAUGAAUAAGCCACGGCUAACUACGGGCCAGCAGCCGCGGGAAUACGUAGGUGGCAAGCGUUCUCCGGAUUUACUGGGUGUAAAGGGCGUGUAGGCGGGAAUGCAAGUCUGUUGUGAAAAUUAUGGGCUCAACCCAGAACCUGCCAUGUAAACUGUUGUUCUUGAGUGAUGGAGAGGCAGGCGGAAUACCGUGUGUAGCGGUGAAAUGCGUAGAUAUACGGAGGAACACCAGUGGCGAAGGCGGCCUGCUGGAUAUUAACUGACGCUGAGGCGCGAAAGCGUGGGGAGCAAACAGGAUUAGAUACCCUUGUAGUC